AAUCAACGCUGGCGGCGUGCCUCAGACAUGCAAGUCGAACGCGAAAUUUCCCUUCGGGGAGAAAGUAGAGUGGCGCACGGGUGAGUAACACGUAGGUAAUCUACCUUCGGAUGGGGAAUAACAAUCGGAAACGGUUGCUAAUACCGCAUAAUGCAGCGGCACCUAAUGGUGACAGUUGUUAAAGCGGGGGAUCGAAAGACCUCGCGUCUGAAGAGGAGCCUGCGGCGGAUAGCUAGUUGGUAAGGUAACGGCUUACCAAGGCUACGAUCCGUAGCCGGCCUGAGAGGGCGGUCGGCCACACUGACACUGACAUACGGGUCAGACUCCUACGGGAGGCAGCAGUCGGGAAUUUUGGGCAAUGGGCGAAAGCCUGACCCAGCAACGCCGCGUGAAGGAUAGAAUCCCU
This 406-nucleotide ribosomal RNA is filed under the name uncultured bacterium. Its description in RNAcentral is "bacterial SSU rRNA". It matches the Rfam family "Bacterial small subunit ribosomal RNA", at positions 32 to 418 of the family's 1533-position model. The record is from RNAcentral.